Molecule: small RNA, 477 nt
Filed under: Histoplasma capsulatum
Lineage: Eukaryota; Fungi; Ascomycota; Eurotiomycetes; Onygenales; Ajellomycetaceae
Also listed under: 1 other name
Description: hypothetical RNA
Source: RNAcentral
AACUCAAUACUCCGACAGUGCCAUAUACUUCGAUCCGAUCUUUGAACCAAUAUAACUUAUCGCAAAAUCAUCCUUUGGGAUCAACGCUGAGAACAGCACUGCAACAGGCACUGCAACAAUGCCUCCUUCUAUCAAGUCAGCUCGCAAGUUUUUGUUCGGCGUUCCCUGGACUAGAGUCCUCCCUAAAGUCAAAGGCACGUCUCGAGGCCAUCGACUCUACCCGUCCCAAACUCCGAAAAAUGACUCGAAGAAAAAUUAUCGAUUAGACAAAGGCUCUGUUGUUAAUGGGAAGCACGAGAUUAUCCUUCAGGCCAACAAGAAUGCGGAGGAUAGCAGCGUCCGAGAGGCAGCAAAUAAGAAUUCCCAUGCUAUAUUGGCUAAAGUCGUUUAUGACCCCGAGAAUAACCCGAAUGGUGAUGGGGUGCCGGAAGCUCUACUCGCUUCCUUCAAAGGAGAGAACAAAGACGAAGACAAGGC